AUGAUUUCUCCCAAUUCAACAAAGUCAGGUACUACUCAUGUUCUUUCAUGCUAUGGAGCUACUCGAGGCAGCAGAACAUUAUCCCACACGGAGAUGGGGAUGGCCAUGCCCGUGCUGAUGCCGUCGGCCGUCGGUGAGAGCAUCACCGUCAACAACGGCUCCAGCGACCUCUCCAGGAGCUUCUCCAUGAUCUCCUCGGGUGACACCAACUCCAACAUCAUGUUCUUCACGCCCGGAAGCAAAAAAGCGAAGGUGCUCAUCGACAGCGACGAUGGCAUGGUCACCAGCCUCAGCAAAAUCGAAUCCCAAUUUGGCAUGUCAACCACGUCUUUAGACAUGUCCGGCAUGGACGACUAUCUGCAGCUGCAGCAAUACUUCAUCGCCUACACAGUCUGCACCAAGCGUGGCUGCGCCACUCACCCACGAAGCAUCGCUGAGAGGAUUAGAAAGAAGAGCAAGGAAUAG
RNAcentral lists this ribosomal RNA (465 nucleotides) under Triticum aestivum (bread wheat). RNAcentral's name for it is "partial small subunit ribosomal RNA". The record is from RNAcentral. Lineage: Eukaryota; Viridiplantae; Streptophyta; Magnoliopsida; Poales; Poaceae.